Molecule: long non-coding RNA, 213 nt
Filed under: Lathyrus oleraceus (garden pea)
Lineage: Eukaryota; Viridiplantae; Streptophyta; Magnoliopsida; Fabales; Fabaceae
Description: Pisum sativum (pea) long non-coding RNA (PSAT_LNC031752)
Source: RNAcentral
AACCCCUCACUAGUAUGUUGAAGCUCUCAUCAUAUGGUGGAUUGUUGGUUUAGGUUUAGUUUUCUCCCUUUGAUAACAAAAGACCUUAAGGCUUUUGAUCAAAUCAAUUCACCAAUCUUUGAGAUUUUUACACCGAACUACGAGGUUUUGAUCCUAUCUUUGUGAUGGUACGUAGACAAUGGGUUCAUCCAUUCAAACAACAAAAUUGUAAAC